CACUCCUACGGGAGGCAGCAGUGGGGAAUUUUGGACAAUGGGCGAAAGCCUGAUCCAGCAAUGCCGCGUGUGUGAAGAAGGCCUUCGGGUUGUAAAGCACUUUUGUCCGGAAAGAAAUCCUUGGCUCUAAUACAGUCGGGGGAUGACGGUACCGGAAGAAUAAGCACCGGCUAACUACGUGCCAGCAGCCGCGGUAAUACGUAGGGUGCGAGCGUUAAUCGGAAUUACUGGGCGUAAAGCGUGCGCAGGCGGUUUGCUAAGACCGAUGUGAAAUCCCCGGGCUCAACCUGGGAACUGCAUUGGUGACUGGCAGGCUAGAGUAUGGCAGAGGGGGGUAGAAUUCCACGUGUAGCAGUGAAAUGCGUAGAGAUGUGGAGGAAUACCGAUGGCGAAGGCAGCCCCCUGGGCCAAUACUGACGCUCAUGCACGAAAGCGUGGGGAGCAAACAGGAUUAGAUACCCCGGUAGUCCCAU
Molecule: ribosomal RNA, 473 nt
Filed under: uncultured organism
Description: partial 16S ribosomal RNA
Rfam family: Bacterial small subunit ribosomal RNA
Source: RNAcentral